GAAGGAGUAAACCGGGAGAAAUUUUUUUGGAAUUAAAUAAUGAAUUUCACUUUUUAGGAAGGCUAAAAUUUUUCUUUUAGACGAGAAGACCCUAUAAAACUUUAUAUUUUUAUAUUUAUAGCUAAAAUAAAAAAAAUAUUUCACUGGGGUGGUGAAGAAAAGAUCUUUCUUAAAAUAAUUUAACAUACUAGUUAAAUAUACGUAGAAUUUGUAAAAAAGAAAUAAGUUACUAUAGGGAUAACAGCUUAAUUUAUUUUGAAAGUUGUAAUUGACAAAUAAUAUGACCUCGAUGUUGAAAUAAAAUACCUUUUUUAUGCAAAA
RNAcentral lists this ribosomal RNA (321 nucleotides) under Odontobuthus doriae. RNAcentral's name for it is "partial 16S ribosomal RNA". Lineage: Eukaryota; Metazoa; Arthropoda; Arachnida; Scorpiones; Buthidae. The record is from RNAcentral.